GGGAUUGUGGCUCAGUGGUAGAGCACUUGCUUAGCAUGUGUGAGGCACUGGGUUCGAUCCUCAGCACCA
Molecule: transfer RNA, 69 nt
Filed under: Ictidomys tridecemlineatus (thirteen-lined ground squirrel)
Lineage: Eukaryota; Metazoa; Chordata; Mammalia; Rodentia; Sciuridae
Description: Spermophilus tridecemlineatus (thirteen-lined ground squirrel) tRNA
Rfam family: tRNA
About the family: Transfer RNA (tRNA) molecules are approximately 80 nucleotides in length. Their secondary structure includes four short double-helical elements and three loops (D, anti-codon, and T loops).
Source: Rfam by way of RNAcentral